This 1553-nucleotide ribosomal RNA is filed under the name uncultured bacterium. RNAcentral's name for it is "bacterial SSU rRNA". It matches the Rfam family "Bacterial small subunit ribosomal RNA". The record is from RNAcentral.
AGAGUUUGAUUCUGGCUCAGAACGAACGCUGGCGGCGUGGCUAAGGCAUGCAAGUCGAACGGGGCCUUUUGAGUAGCAAUACAAGAAAGGUUCAGUGGCGGACGGGUGAGUAAUACAUAGGUAACGUGCCUCGAGUUCAGGGAUAACAGCGACCCGCAACGUUUUGCGAAAGUGCUGGUAAUACCUGAUAACGUCAAGAGGUCUCAUGACUUUUUGACCAAAGAUGGGGACCUUCGGGCUGUUGACUCUUGAGCGGCCUAUGUCCUAUCAGCUAGUUGGCGGGGUAAUGGCCCACCAAGGCUAUGACGGGUAACCGGCGUGAGAGCGCGACCGGUCACAUCGGAACUGAGAUACUGUCCGGACACCUACGGGUGGCUGCAGCAACGAAUAUUCCGCAAUGGGCGAAAGCCUGACGGAGCGACGCCGCGUGAGGGAUGAAGUCCUUCGGGAUGUAAACUUCAAUAGUACGCUAGGAACCAAUCCUGGCUAAUAUCCAUGAAAGUUGACCAGCGUAUGAAAGAGGCGGCUAACUCCGUGCCAGCAGCCGCGGUAAUACGGAGGCCUCGAGCGUUGUUCGGAAUCACUGGGCUUAAAGCGCGUGUAGGCGGACGGUAAGUACUUUGUGAAAGCCCCGGCUUCAAUCCGGGAACUGCUAGGUAUACUGUCGCUCUUGAGGCAGGUAGGGGUCACUGGAACCUUAGGUGGAGCGGUGAAAUGCGUAGAUAUCUAAGGGAACGCCUGUGGCRAARSSGGGUGACUGGGCCUGAUCUGACGCUGAGACGCGAAAGCGUAGGGAGCAAACGGGAUUAGAUACCCCGGUAGUCUACGCCGUAAACGAUGCGCAUUAGGUUCGAGUAGUACUGACACUUCUCGUGCCGAAACAAAAGCGUUAAGUGCGCCGCCUGGGGAGUACGGGCGCAAGGCUAAAACUCAAAGGAAUUGACGGGGGCUCACACAAGCGGUGGAGCAUGUGGAUCAAUUCGAAGCAACGCGAAGAACCUUACCUGGGUUUGACAUCCACGGAUAUCGUCCUGGAAACAGGAGCCGAUUGCUUCGGGUGAAACGUGGACAGGUGCUGCAUGGCUGUCGUCAGCUCGUGCUGUGAAGUGUCGGGUUAAGUCCCUUAACGAGCGAAACCCUUGUCGUUAGUUGCCAGCGGGUCAUGCCGGGAACUCUAACGAGACUGCCGGCGUUAAGCCGGAGGAAGGUGGGGACGACGUCAAGUCAUCAUGGCCUUUAUGCCCAGGGUGUCACACGUGCUACAAUGGCGUGCACAGAGCGAAGCAAGACCGUAAGGUGGAGCAAAUCGCAGAAAACACGCCCCAGUUCGGAUUGAGGUCUGCAACCCGACCUCAUGAAGCCGGAAUCGCUAGUAAUCGCGCAUCAGCCAUGGCGCGGUGAAUGAGUUCCUGAGCCUUGUACACACCGCCCGUCAAGUCAUGGGAGCUGGGAGUUCCCGAAGUCGCAACAAUUCGGUUGUGCCGACGGAAAGCCCGGUGACUGGGACUAAGUCGUAACAAGGUAGCAAGGCGAAUUCUGCAGAUAUCCAUCAC